This 255-nucleotide ribosomal RNA is filed under the name uncultured bacterium. RNAcentral describes it as "partial 16S ribosomal RNA". It matches the Rfam family "Bacterial small subunit ribosomal RNA", at positions 524 to 776 of the family's 1533-position model. The record is from RNAcentral.
UACGGGGGGGGCAAGCGUUGUUCGGAAUUACUGGGCGUAAAGGGCGCGUAGGCGGUCAGACCAAGUCGAGUGUGAAAUUCCAGGGCUUAACUCUGGCACGCUCGCUCGAUACUGGUCGGCUAGAGUGUGGAAGAGGAUGCUGGAAUUCCCGGUGUAGCGGUGAAAUGCGUGGAUAUCGGGAGGAACACCAGUGGCGAAGGCGGGCAUCUGGGCCAACACUGACGCUGAGGCGCGAAAGCUAGGGGAGCAAACAGG